This 809-nucleotide ribosomal RNA is filed under the name Bacillus subtilis. RNAcentral describes it as "bacterial SSU rRNA". It matches the Rfam family "Bacterial small subunit ribosomal RNA", at positions 57 to 847 of the family's 1533-position model. Lineage: Bacteria; Bacillati; Bacillota; Bacilli; Caryophanales; Bacillaceae. The record is from RNAcentral.
GCAAGUCGAGCGGACAGAUGGGAGCUUGCUCCCUGAUGUUAGCGGCGGACGGGUGAGUAACACGUGGGUAACCUGCCUGUAAGACUGGGAUAACUCCGGGAAACCGGGGCUAAUACCGGAUGGUUGUUUGAACCGCAUGGUUCAAACAUAAAAGGUGGCUUCGGCUACCACUUACAGAUGGACCCGCGGCGCAGUAGCUAGUUGGUGAGGUAACGGCUCACCAAGGCAACGAUGCGUAGCCGACCUGAGAGGGUGAUCGGCCACACUGGGACUGAGACACGGCCCAGACUCCUACGGGAGGCAGCAGUAGGGAAUCUUCCGCAAUGGACGAAAGUCUGACGGAGCAACGCCGCGUGAGUGAUGAAGGUUUUCGGAUCGUAAAGCUCUGUUGUUAGGGAAGAACAAGUACCGUUCGAAUAGGGCGGUACCUUGACGGUACCUAACCAGAAAGCCACGGCUAACUACGUGCCAGCAGCCGCGGUAAUACGUAGGUGGCAAGCGUUGUCCGGAAUUAUUGGGCGUAAAGGGCUCGCAGGCGGUUUCUUAAGUCUGAUGUGAAAGCCCCCGGCUCAACCGGGGAGGGUCAUUGGAAACUGGGGAACUUGAGUGCAGAAGAGGAGAGUGGAAUUCCACGUGUAGCGGUGAAAUGCGUAGAGAUGUGGAGGAACACCAGUGGCGAAGGCGACUCUCUGGUCUGUAACUGACGCUCAGGAGCGAAAGCGUGGGGAGCGAACAGGAUUAUAUACCCUGGUAGUCCACGCCAUAAACGAUGAGUGCUAAGUGUUAGGGGGUUUCCGCCCCUUAGUGCU